CAGGUACGUUGGGUUCUACAAGGGAGUGCAGAGUGCAGGAGCGGCGGUGGCAUGGCAAGUGGACAAGCAACACACGCCCCUGAUAUCCCAGCUGAUUGUGAACUGGGGGCUCAUGACCAUCAGCUACCCAUUGCUUGUGCUGCUGGUGUUCCUGGCCGUGAAGGACGAGGACUACUCUGUUUCUUCAGUGGAGGAGGACGGCAAGGAGAAAGAUAGUAAGCUGUCAGCACCAACCAGCUUCCACUAAGGAUGAUAGAUCACGAUGUUACGGGUUUUUCAUCAAAGUUGUAGAAAUCAAGAAACAACUGAAGUACCUAUGCAAAGAAUAUUUAGGGUGUGGCGUUUUUAUGUAUGUGGAUUACCUGAUGGGGAUGACAGUAUUCGUUUGGUGAUUAUUACUAUUCUCUCCGUGUUAGAUUGAGCAUGCUUGCAUCUACUCCUUGUCCGUGGUGUAACAUAUGCCAUUUUUGAGCAAUGAAAGGUUUAUUAUAUUCCUUGUCCGUGCUGCAGUUCCUAAAAUUUAUGGGUGUACAUCCACAGACAUCAGCACUUUGUACAGCAUAGAAAAUAAUAAAUAAAUGCUAAUUCUGACUGCAUUAACUAAAUCACAAAAACUACCAUUAUCUCUCCUAACAUGCUUGGGCCAGAAAUCAUCAGGUGUUGUUUAUUUCGGCCAGAAAUCACAUAGGCAUUUCUCUUAUUAAAAAAUUUAUGCAAAAUAUCAUUUCUUUUGUCGUGGCUUGGUUUAUUAAUAAUUUUUUUCAAGAAUAACUUAAAUUUGACUAUGUUUGUACAAUCUUUUUUAAUAAGAUGAGGAUCAAACUUGGGGUAAAAAAAGUCAAACAUAAUUUCAGAUGGAGUGAGUAUACUACACAAGAGAGUUGUAGGUUAUUCACUCUCUUUAUGUAGGACAACUCCUGAAGUAUAAUUUGUUUCAUUUGAUAAAGCAUGGAGAUGGACUUCAUAGGAAAACGGCAGUUGAUGAACAACUUUGUGGAUUUUUGAAGACAACUUUUUUUUUUAUCAAAAUGAUUAAUACAGAUUUAGAUCAACAAAUAUGGAUAUUAACAAUGUAUGAUUCUUUUUGGCAUCAAGAAAAAGUUUCAAAUUAAAAUUUCAUGAAUUACGCAGAGCUGUACUUUAUUGAGGUCUACAUUUUUUCAAUAAAUUUCAUAUCUAUCGACAUAAAAGGUACGAGACUCUUAAAGAAGGGUUGCAUAGUAAAAGAAAAUUCCACCAACAAUUAGAUGUAAAGGAAAUUUGGGCAAUCGAAUCCAUGGAAUUUAAAUCCUGCCACUUUGAUCUAUGAUAGUAGUAUACUUUUGUAAACUUUUAUUUCUAUAUUGGAACACUUAUUUUUGCAAAACAUAUUUAAUAAAAAUACAAAAAAGGUAAAGAUAAUCUGGCAUAUACCUGGGCCUGAUCUGCUGAAAUGGCACACUGGGCCUAGGUAUGAUGCAGCCCAAACUGGGGAUAUAAAAGUAUUUGUGGACCGUACUGUUUUGUUGGGAUUUUCUUUUACAAAGUUAGAAACAGUUUCAAACAAAAAUUUCAUGAAUUAUAGAGCUGUUCUUUAUUGAGGUCUACAAUUUUUCAUAUAAAUCUCAUAUCUAUCUAUCGACAUAAAAGGUAUGAGAAUUUUAAAGAAAGGCUGCAUAGCAAAAGAAAAUUCCAGCCUAGUAGCAUCUGGCCCAUGAUGAGCAUGCUGACAGUAACAGCCCCAGCGUUGAUGAUAGAGCCGAAGAGGAAUAAGACGCCACCGAUGAGCAUGACAGAUUGGCGUCCAACCCUUCUUGUCACACGGCUUGCCAUUGUCACACGGCUUGCCACUAAUGAUGACAGGGAGCUACCAAUGUACAUCGAUGACGUGAAUGCUGUAAGAAGCUGGUUGUCGUACAUGCAAUAGGCAUCACGCUUUGCACUCUUCAUCCCGCUCACCACUUCCGGGAAGAACUUAUUCAAGAAUGACUCCAUUUGUGUGACACCACCUGAAAAACAUGCAUCCUUGAGACUAUUAGUAGUUUAGAAAAUCAUAAUUUAGUGUCUUAUUAGUGCAUGCAUCACACGCCUAUCGUCAUUGGUAUAUACUCCCUACAUACCUGUAAAUAAAGUCAUUUUGAAUAAGGUUUGAGUCAAACAUUGUGAAUAUAAAUUAUGAAUAACUUGUAAGUUGUUGAGUUUGCAAAUGUGAAAACCAUAUGAAUAGAUUUGACUUGAAAAAUACUUUCACAAAAAUAUACAUAUACCACUUUUAAAUAAAUAUUUUUAUCAAAGUAAGAAGUCAAAGUUAGGUUUUGGAGACCGUGUCGUUGUCCUAAAUGACUUUCUUUACAUGUACGGAGGGAGUAUUAUGUAAAAUUUAUAGCAACUGGUAUACAGCUCAUUUUGGUAAAAAAAAACUGGUAUAGUACAGCUCAUCAUGAACAUGACAAGAUAUAUAUACACCUCUGGUCUGAUGUACUAGCUAUAGCGACGUCUCAGCAGAAAAAAAAUCAUAUACCCCCAUAAAUAAUAUUGUGCACUUCAUAACAAAAGCAAGUCAAAAGCUGCUCACUUGCGCUGCGUCCCACCAAAAAAUAAGCUUUAGACUUCCGUAGGACACAAGGAUUAAAUAUGAGAGCAUGCAAAUUGUGCACAACAUCCAUCAAUCGUUGAGCCCACAAUGCUUUGCCUAUAUAUUGUUAGAUAUUUUCUUAUGAGUUGUCUAGUUGUUGCCUACAUAUAUUAUAUGUAAUCCUCACUUAUAGUUACAAAUAUUGGCCCACCAAUUCGUGCUCUCCAGCACGGACCAGAAUAAUCUUAUAUAUGUUACAUAAGUUAAAGUUUCACGGAUAAAUUAGUAUGUAUCAGCUCUUGUUGCACCUCUUUCCAUGACAUCAAGUGCUCUAAUCUUUUGAUAUUCUAUUGGUUGCUGCAAUUUUUCAUCCAUGCACUGGUUAAUACACUAGUGGUUUUUGUAUCUUUUUAUUCAAUAUUUCCCUUUUGUGUAUUUUAUUUUGUUUUUGUGUAUUUUAUCAAACUAUAGAUUCUAGGUCAUAGACUACCCACUUAGUUACCAUAUAUAAUGUCACAAAUAACCAUUUGUGCUUUCAGCAAUCAGGAUGAUAAAUUUCAUGUAUCAAAUAACUAUAUGUUUGAUUUACGAAAAAUGGUGGUUAAAAUUAACCAACCAAUAUUAAUAUGUCACAAUGUUUAUUUAAGGUUUAUAAACUUAUAUAAAGCAACAACUUACAAAAUUUUGUCAUGGAGUAUUAACAUAAUUUCAGUGGCAUACGUGGUUUGUUUAUGGGAUACUUUUUUCAUGAUCCAUAAACCGAGAAAAUAAAUAUUUGUCCUAAUGUAUGCAAUCAUAUUACAUAGUGGCAUAUUGUAUUUAUGUUUACUUGGAAUUUAAGAGUUGUAGAAGUGUAUAUAUGGUUAUUUAUUUCUUUUUCAUACUACCUUAUGUUGGUUUUUGGACGUAGUUUUGCGAGAUAUUUUAGUUUGAUUUUACAGUAAUAGAGGUGCAUAAUUUUAAUGCAAAUUUAGAUGGUUAAUUAAAUUUUAUUUUAUAAUGGAAGAGCAGGUAUAUAAAUUUGCAUUUUUUAGGUUCCUUUAAAUUGUAUUUUAUGAUUGCAGAGGUUGUGGGCUGCUCGCUUGGAGGUGACACAGUUAGUGUUUUAAAACUAAAUUAAUAAAUUUCACUGUACGGACGAAAGCCCCUCCAGAAUUCUAAUAAAAAGGAGACAGACAAGAGAGGGGAGGGGUAUUGUGAGGAUGAAAUGUAAAAUAAAGAACAUAAUAACUACUUGCAAAUUGGUAAAGGCGUAAAGCAUGAGUAAUCAAGCUAGCGUGCAUUGGCAAAACAGCCUUACAACAAAACUUUCCUCGCGUCAUUUGAGAGGUAUUAUAUAUUGGAUCUUUUAUGGGCUACAAUUAUAGCUCUAAUUUAUAGUUGAGUGGUUUAAAUAUUUGGUCAACCCUCUAUAUUUGUAAGGGAUUAUGUAGACUUUUUUUAUUGUUUGCUAACUCAUAGUCAUGUCAUUAUACACAUAUAGAGUAUGCUAAUGACAGUGACAUGCCUUCAAAACCACUUUAGAGGGUUAUUUAGAUUCCCAAUAAUUAAAGAAGUAAAAUAUUUUAUUGGUUGGAAAAAAACAUUUGGUUUUAUAGGAGAGGGAAUGGAGUGAAGCAGGUGAAUGCAAAUAAUUAGGUUAACUAUACUUUUUCCAAAAUUAAUUCCCAACCACGAAAAAAAAUAUACACAUCUGAUGUACUAGCUGUGUAUAUAUAUAGCAGAAAAUUUCCAUAUAAUAAGCACAGGUCCCCAUAAAUACCUUUUAUAAAGCCAAGUCAUAAGCUCUUCACUUGUGCUAGCGAAAAGGAUUACUUGAGUUGGAUUAAGUGAUGUUUAGCUCCGAUCCAGAACGAACUAUAUAUAACUGGGAACGGAGUAUAUAGCAGCCAAUAUUCAAGCAUGCAUGUUCAGAGAUGAUUGAUCUACAUCCAUUUGAGAAUACAUAUGCAUGUAGGGAGCAUUAGGGCAGAGCUGGGUGAUGAAGCAGCUAUCAUUUACCUGCGACACCAACAUGGUAGCCGAAGACGAGGCCACAGGAAGCAGCCAUGAGGCAGAUGGCCAUGACAGCGGCCGUCAAGCUACCGCCAUAGCUGUGACCAUCUGCCGCCUCCAACCCUCCUCUUGCCAUCGAACUGCUGACUACUCAAGGACGGGGACACUGCUUAUACUGGCGCAGGGGCAGAGCUUGCAAGUUUUUUGCAGCUUAGGUUGGGCGUUUGGUUCCAAGGCAUGCACAUGAAUUUAUGCACAUGAAGGGGCAUCACACACUUGUAUAUAUAUUGUAUUGUGUUCGGCAUCCUUUGGCUGCUGGCUGUCCGUUUUUGACAUGUCUCCGGCAGUGGUUGACUUUGCCAGCCAGGCUCACGCUAUCAUAUCUACACAAGCAUCCAUGGUAAUAUGGUAUAUGAUGAUGGUCGUUCUGUAGCAGAUUGGAGUCCCACACUGGGCUCAAAGGGUGCGUGGUCGCGCCUCCAUCGCCUCUCUCAAAGGAGAUAUUCAUGGGGAGCACCGGGACUUGUUCCGUUCUCUGCUGCCAUCAGGGAAGGGCUUUAGCUCCGGGCCGUAAGGGCCUUUAGUCCCGGCUACGGAACCGGGGCUAAGGUUUCGGGACUAAAUGUCCCACCUUUAGUCCCGGUUAACAAGUCGAUGACGGCGUAGAAAUGAUGAAAUGAAUCAAUAGCUGGAGAUGAGAGCAAGAACAAGCAACUCCAAAUGAAGAACACAGCAAAAGAGUGAAGAUCGAUGGGCUCGGCCGGGGAAAGAAGAGUUCAAAUAUGGGGAAGGACAUUUAGUUCCGGUUCCAUUUAAAAACCGGGUCUAAAUUCGAACACUAGUCCCGGCCGGUGAGACGGACCGGGACAACAGCUUUUAAUCCCGGUUAGUGGUACCAACCGGGACUAAAGGCUGGACUUUUGUCCCGAUUCGUGAGACCAACCGGAACUAAAGGUCCCUUCUGCCGAUCUCUGACACCAUAGCCGUUGGGCAGGGGACUUUUAGUCCCAGUUGACCUCAGCAACUGGGACUAAAUAUGUUUUUGUCCCGAACGCUGAUUGGGCCGAGAUUAUUGUUCAUUUUGGACAAGUGACCAAAGGCCUGUUCUGUAGUAGUGCAUUAUACAAAGCGAUUACCUCAGUUCAGCUUGGUGAUGGGAGAUCUUGCUCCUUCUAGACGGACGUAUGGUUGGGCGACGAAGCCCUUGCUCAUGUGUACCCAGUCAUUCUCAGCCACUGCACCAACCAGGAGAUUACGGUGAGCGGGUUGAUGGUGGCCGGCCUGCAGCAAUCACUUGUGCCCAUGCUUUGGAGAAGAGCAACGCAAGAAUUACAGCUGGUUGAAUCCAUGAUUGCCAACACAGAGCUGUUGGCUGAGCAUGAUCGUAGGGUGUCGUCAUUUAGUAACGGCAAGAAUGGGCAGGACAGUGGAGCCAUUUACGUACUCUCUCGACUCUUCGCUCCUUUCCCUUUGCUACAGGCGACAAGGAGGCGACGCGAUUUCUCGGCGGCGAUUCCGCCUACCCUUCUCCUCUCCGGCGACCACGUAGGUGCUAGAGAGAGAGGAGGGUCAGGGAAUCGCUUCGCGGGUGUAGUUAGGCUACGUAGAUGUCUCCCUAGGUCUAGGCUGUGCUCGCCGUCAACAAUUGACGGUGGAGCUAGCGUUUGCCGGGGGGAGUCUUCUCCUCCGCGGCCGCGUCUUCCUGGCAGCGCCGGCGAGGCGGUGGCGACGGUGUCGCAGGAAAAUAAAUUCCUCUGGUCUCUUCCUCACCCCUUUGGUGUCUGCUCUUGGCGUCAAUGGCGAGGCCAAGGAAGAGGAGAUUCGCCAGAUCCCUGUUCUGGAGUCCAUGGCCGGCGGCACAUCUUCCUACUCAGGUGAUGUUUUUGCUGGUCCUUUUGCUAAAGGAUGUGGCGCAGCUGUUGGGUGAUGUGGUUGGUGGCCGGAUGGAUCUGCAUCGAUUUCCUCUUGGCGGAGCUUUUCGUCGACGGCGAUGGCGGAUCCAGAAGCAAUUCAUUCUGUUUAUGACUCUGCUAAUACAGUGAUAACUCUGCUAAUACUGUAGAAAUCGCUACUAGCUUAGUUGGGAAAUUCUCACACAAGUGAUCUUAGUUGGGAAAUUGCUCCUCUUCAGUUAAUGUUCUUGAGUGAUUCAAGAUCCUCAUCACUUGACAAUUCAGGAUUGUAGGCAUUAAUCAAAGAUACUAGUUCGGUAGAACAAAGACAUGUUUGUAUAGCGGAGUAAAGUGAUCAAAUAUUAAAUUCCGAAGGGAUCCGAUAGGGCACUCCUCCCAAUUUCUUGUUAGUCAAUUCAGUAGAUUCCACUAACCACUAACCAUUUGAAGCAAACUAUGCUUGCUGCCGUCAUAAUAGUCAACACUUUGAAUUAGGUUGUGUCCUUUUCAUAUAAAGAAUCUAACUGAAGGCGUGGAACAUUGGACUCUUUUCCUGUACUGAGCGAUGUGAAUUGAGAAUCACAGAAGAUAUCUCGCUAGGAGUUUAUAUGAGUGGCCACCUUGCAAUAUUCUUUAGAUGCUGAAACAUGUUAGACAGCUUAAGUUCAUCUUUAAGAUACUGAAACAGAGUUCAUGUUAGACAGCUUAAGUUCAUCUUUAUGAUGCCAAAUUCCAUCUUGCAAUAUCCUUUUCCCAGCUUAAGUUCAUCUUAAGGCAAGAUACUAGUAGGUCAUCUUUGGUAGCGAAGGACUUCCAACAAUCUUUAGAAGAUUUGGGGAUAGAGAUUCUUAUCCAGCUUUCCCGCAAAAGAUUCUUAUCCGACAUGCUUUUUUUUCCCCUUUCGAUAAAGUUUAAUUUGGGACAGCAUUUAGCAGUAAAUUAGUAUGCUGCUGCUGCCAGGCUGUGUGAAAAGGGGAAAGAAAGAAGAGACAAAACAGACAGGUUCUUAUGUUCUGUGGAUUAAUAAACAAACCUCUGUAUGGUUGAGUGCAAAACUCUUGAAGAGGCCUGAUAAAAUUCCUUUAUCUAAAAAAGAUAAAUAAACAAACCUCUUUGUCUGAAUCACUCUCUCUCAACUCUUCUGACGGAUGGAUGCAGGUACGUUGGGUUCUACAAGGGAGUGCAGAGUGCAGGAGCGGCGGUGGCAUGGCAAGUGGACAAGCAACACACGCCCCUGAUAUCCCAGCUGAUUGUGAACUGGGGGCUCAUGACCAUCAGCUACCCAUUGCUUGUGCUGCUGGUGUUCCUGGCCGUGAAGGACGAGGACUACUCUGUUUCUUCAGUGGAGGAGGACGGCAAGGAGAAAGAUAGUAAGCUGUCAGCACCAACCAGCUUCCACUAAGGAUGAUAGAUCACGAUGUUACGGGUUUUUCAUCAAAGUUGUAGAAAUCAAGAAACAACUGAAGUACCUAUGCAAAGAAUAUUUAGGGUGUGGCGUUUUUAUGUAUGUGGAUUACCUGAUGGGGAUGACAGUAUUCGUUUGGUGAUUAUUACUAUUCUCUCCGUGUUAGAUUGAGCAUGCUUGCAUCUACUCCUUGUCCGUGGUGUAACAUAUGCCAUUUUUGAGCAAUGAAAGGUUUAUUAUAUUCCUUGUCCGUGCUGCAGUUCCUAAAAUUUAUGGGUGUACAUCCACAGACAUCAGCACUUUGUACAGCAUAGAAAACAAUAAAUAAAUGCUAAUUCUGACUGCAUUAACUAAAUCACAAAAACUACCAUUAUCUCUCCUAACAUGCUUGGGCCAGAAAUCAUCAGGUGUUGUUUAUUUCGGCCAGAAAUCACAUAGGCAUUUCUCUUAUUAAAAAAUUUAUGCAAAAUAUCAUUUCUUUUGUCGUAGCUUGGUUUAUUAAUAAUUUUUUUCAAGAAUAACUUAAAUUUGACUAUGUUUGUACAAUCUUUUUUAAUAAGAUGAGGAUCAAACUUGGGGUAAAAAAAGUCAAAUGGAGUGAGUAUACUACACAAGAGAGUUGUAGGUUAUUCACUCUCUUUACGUAGGACAACUCCUGAAGUAUAAUUUGUUUCAUUUGAUAAAGCAUGGAGAUGGACUUAAUAGGAAAACGGCAGUUGAUGAACAACUUUGUGGAUUUUUGAAGACAACUUUUUUUUUUAUCAAAAUGAUUAAUACAGAUUUAGAUCAACAAAUAUGGAUAUUAACAAUGUAUGAUUCUUUUUGGCAUCAAGAAAAAGUUUCAAAUUAAAAUUUCAUGAAUUACGCAGAGCUGUACUUUAUUGAGGUCUACAUUUUUUCAAUAAAUUUCAUAUCUAUCGACAUAAAAGGUACGAGACUCUUAAAGAAGGGUUGCAUAGUAAAAGAAAAUUCCACCAACAAUUAGAUGUAAAGGAAAUUUGGGCAAUCGAAUCCAUGGAAUUUAAAUCCUGCCACUUUGAUCUAUGAUAGUAGUAUACUUUUGUAAACUUUUAUUUCUAUAUUGGAACACUUAUUUUUGCAAAACAUAUUUAAUAAAAAUACAAAAAAGGUAAAGAUAAUCUGGCAUAUACCUGGGCCUGAUCUGCUGAAAUGGCACACUGGGCCUAGGUAUGAUGCAGCCCAAACUGGGGAUAUAAAAGUAUUUGUGGACCGUACUGUUUUGUUGGGAUUUUCUUUUACAAAGUUAGAAACAGUUUCAAACAAAAAUUUCAUGAAUUAUAGAGCUGUUCUUUAUUGAGGUCUACAAUUUUUCAUAUAAAUCUCAUAUCUAUCUAUCGACAUAAAAGGUAUGAGAAUUUUAAAGAAAGGCUGCAUAGCAAAAGAAAAUUCCACCAACAAUUGGCUGCAAAGGAAAUUUUGCCAAUCGAAUCUGUGGAACUUAAAUCCUGCCACUUUGAUCCGUGAUAGCAGUAUACUUUUGUAAAUUUUUAUUUUUUAUUCGAACACUUAUUUUUGUAAAACUGAUUUAAUAAAAAUACAAAAAGUAAAAAAAUCUGGCAUAUACGUGGGCCUAAUCUGUUGAAAUGGCACACUGGGCCGAAGUGUGAUGCAGCCCAAACUGAGGAUAUCAAAGUAUUUGUGGAUAUGAACCGUACUAGAGAGAAAACAGCCUUAUUGGAUUCAUUUUUUCUUAAAUCACUGUUUUUGUUGGGAUUUUUUUUACAAAGUUAAGAACAGUUUAAAUAAUUUUUUUUUGUCAAUUGAAUCUGUGGAAUUUAAAUCCUGCCACUUUGAUCCAUGAUAGUAUUAUACUUUUCUAAAUUUUUAUUUCUUUAUUAUCCGUGGAAUCCCAUUCCGUUGUUUGGGCUUUGGAAUAGACUUUUAUUCAUAUAAUGUAAGAAAAGAAAAACCAAAUUCUUUAUUCAGUAAUCGAAGGCGCAUAAACUAAAUUACAUAUUAAUGAUUGCUAAAGUACAGGUAGGAUUGUGCAUUGGGAGCUCUCAAAAGUACAACACGAAGAUUACAAAUCCAAUAAUACCUAUCAGAAUCUACAGAAGUUUACUCUUAUCUUGAUCCCUUUCUCUUUUUUUCCUGUUAUUUUAUCAUUUUCUCAUGUGCCUUUUAGGGGAGAGUUGAUGAUAACAUUGAGACAAUCAAGAAGCUUCUAAAAGUGUUGGAAAGUUUGAAUAUUCCUGUCGUUGAGUAGUACUCUUCAAGGGGAAAAGUGCACAAGGUAAGUUCUGUUUUGCUCACAACUAUCUGAGCAGGACAAACUUUGUAUCUUUUCGGUACAUUGUGUUGCUUACUUUUGUGGAAAAGUUGAAUGAUAAAGCUUUUUGUCUAGUCUCAAUUUGUGCAUUCAAGUUCAAGAAGAAGAAUUUGAUUAGCAAAGUAUAAAUCAAAACUCAAAUAUAAACAGAUCUGAUGCAGUUUCCUUGUUUAGCUUAUUAUUGCUGUACAUCCUAUUCUUUUGGGAGAUAAUUAAAAUCUACUGAUUGGUUUGAUAUUAGAUGGGCAGCUAUAUUAUGAUCAUCCGGGAACAUGGCUUACACGCAUUAAAUGGUUAAUUGCUACAAAUGGGAUAUAUUUAGUAGAAUGUUUUCCACACUGUAUGUCAACUCAAGGAUCUAGGAUUUCUAAUAUUAAAAUUGUUCAAUUGCUUGCAGAUAAAUGCCACGGGCACUGCAGAUGAAAUAUUUGAAGCAGUCCGCAGGCUGUUUUCUUAAGGUAAAUCUUAGUGCUUGGCAUGUCAAAUUUCUUAGAUCAAUGAUAUAUUUUAGAAAUUUUUAUUCUGUAUUUCUUCCCCCCGGAGUUAUAUCUGCUAGAGUUAGUGAACGGUCGUUAGUGGUUCAUUCUCCUGGAGGAGCUUCAUUUUUGUUUGAUAUAUGUCUGGUUGCAGAUUACGGAAUGUGAUGUAUUUUGUCUUUUGUGGACUCAUUAAACUUAUGCUUAAAUGUACCCAUUUUGUUGACUAGAUGAUAUUGUAUGCAGGCCCUGACUUUGUUAAUGCUAUGAAUGAAAGGCUGUAAUAUAUUUCACUGAGUCUAUUAUAGCUUACGCAUGAAUUCUGGACAUGCAGGCCAAAGAGAAUUUUAAUUGGUGUUAGUUUGGAUCUUCCGCUCAUGUUAGACCAUGACCAUUAACAACAGAUAUCUGCACUACCUGCAGAGGCUAGCGUCUUCCAGGGAACCUGAGAUUUGUCUCUUCCACGACUUUUCAUUUUCACAAGAAAAAACCCCUACACAUUUCGAUCAGGAUCCACGGAGUUGUGAAUCGAUGUAUGUGUCCCUCAGUACAUUAACAUCUUGUCAUUGUAUGUAUAUGCCCAAAAAUGAAUGUGAACCAUGUAUGCAUGGUUAUUUCUGAAAAUGCUGAACCCGAAGUUAUAGUUGACAAAAUUCUGCUGUUGGCCUGUGACAAAUUUCCCUGAUUUUUGUGGAGGCAUGAAUUCAGGAAACUGAAUGCCAGUCUUGUGCCUGAUUCAUGUCAUGCUGAACCCGUCACUGAUUGAUUCUGAGUCUACUGGGCGCCGUGGAUGGCCUGUCUACUUUGAUUACUUCAGAGAAAUCAGAAAGCUUUGCAGGCAGCAUGCUAAAUAAAUUUUAAGGGGUUGCUAGGUUCCCAGGCGGCAGGGAAUGUUAUUUUAUAGAAUAUAUGGGACAGAGUUUGAAAGCAAUUUGUAAUUUUGUAUCCAAAUUUUGUCUUGCUGCAGCCGGCGUGCAUAUGAUACAUGUGUGUCUGUCAGCUGAAUUAGGACUGAAUCCGAAAGUGAUUGACGCUUUGUGGUGAGGAAAGGUAGAAAAGGCCGGGCGCUGCCACGCAAACAAUGAAAGUAACCAACGGCCGUUAAAGGGCUACAAAUCUCUGGUUGGAAAAUCUCUUCAGUCCCAGUUUCCUAAAUGGGUCUGCAAAUCUAGGACUAACGGCCCCCGCCCCCCUGCGUCUAGAGGCGGGCACCUUUAAUUUGCUCCCAGUUAGUGUUACCGAGGAUAAAAGAUAUUUUUUUUCAUCCUUUUAUUUUAUAUUUUUUCUUCAAUUCAUUUUUUGUUUCUAUUAUUUUUCCGUAUACUUACUCUCCAUACGUAUAAGUUUUUGUUGGUGUUUGAUGAUCAGCAACUCAUCACAGGUUAUCCGGGUCGAUGAUUGGUGUGCUCCGACAUAUACACAACCGAUGAUAAACGCAGAGACAUACUGAUUUACGCCACCCAACAUCCAAUUAGGUGUGUUGCCUUGUUCGAUUGUUGUGUAUGAUGUGUUUAUACAUAGUAUCUACAUGUUCACAUCACUGCCGGUUCAAAAACCCUUUUCACUACCAGAUUACACAGUUUGCAUCUACAUCUUCACAUCUUCUCAUGGCACCAGCGGCAAAGCAUCCGCCCAAACACGAGGACCAUCGAUGCGGCAAAGCAUCCAUGGAUGAGGGCCGAUCCAUGUGCAGCAUCUCGGAGUCAUCCUCAGAGUGUACUCCUCUGAGUCACUAAGGACACAAUGCCCUCAGACCACAGACAAAGAGCACUCCCAAGUCACCCUCUGAGUACUCCUCCGAGUCACUGAGGGCCAUGACCACGGACGAGGAGCACAAACAUGAAGACCAAGGCAUGCGGCGACGACAACUCCACAUCCGCCCAAGCAAGACAAGCAACACUAACACCGACAACAAAGCAUCUACACAAGAAACACUAGCGGCAAAGCAUUCGCCCAAGCACCAAGCAACGACUACGACUACAACAACACCAACUGGACCAACCAAGUGAGGAGAAACAUGAAGCAUAAUUAGGAGCAGAGCAGUGACCGUAGCGACCAUAUAGGGAGUGAGCGACGAGCUAUGGAGGAUUCUUCAGCGACGCCUUCAGAAAGGAGUUGACGCUCAAGAUGCCAAUGUCGCUGGCCUUAGAGGCUUCUAAGAUGAGACUUUCACCUAGAAUUUGGUGAAGCUAGCGAAGGGCACGAGGUCUAGAAAAUGACACCUCUAAGUGGCGCCAAAGGCAUCACAGCCGUUCACCUGGCAGAGCCAGGCUGAGCUUUUGCCCUGACCUUGUGCAACCUGCCAAGCACCGCCACACCGUCCUAGCACUCUAGACUGUAGACCUCCUAGGGAGGGAGCCUAGCUACGCCGUCGUCACCAAGCGGGCUCCUGGCCAACAGGACAAACCCCGUCGACCAAGACACACUACUAGGCCAGGGAGGCGCUGACCACCAUACUCGGGCACCAGGCCAUGGGGGCGCGACCACAUGCUCGCCUAGGCCACCCCAACAUAUGGCCACGCCGUUCGGCUGCCCCGCCCUGGUCUCCAACACUGGAGAGGGGGGCGUCUACCACGGAGCCUGGCAGCCGGAAGCCACCAGACAGGAAGUAGGCGCCCCUCCUGUCGGAGCACAGGACCAUGCCAGCUGCCACCGCAGAGAGGGGCGGUGGGCUGGCUGUGCGCCAACUUUAGGGCCCAAGGGACUAGAUCUGGCCAGCCAACACCCAUCUCGGUCGCCGGAGGGCCACAAUGGCGCUUGCCCACCAUGGCCACCGUCCGAACACCGUCUGGCUAGCCCCGGCCUGCCGCAUGAGGAAGGGGCGAGGAAGGGUUAGGUGGAUGGCAGAUUCGGCCCGUAGAGGCUCGGAUCUGGCCAAACGCCACUGUCCACCGCUGUGGUCGCCACCGGAGUUGAGGUGGAGAGGGGUCCGACACGAUUAGGUGGUGGGAGAGGAGAGGAGUUGCAGACGAGGCACCUUGUUGGGAGCCCGCCACCACGGGAAGGGCAGCGACGACGGCCGGAGGAGGCCUGGGAGGGAGCGAAGUUCGGCGGCAGCGGUGGCGCCUCCCGAGUCGCCUAACGUGGGCGCUCGGGAGGGAUUAGGCAGAGGUUUCACACAACUUUCGGGACACACUGAAUAUAUAUCACGAUGACGGCUUGGGCACCGUUAGUGGCGGUGGAUUUGGCGCGCAAAGAACGCCCGCUCACGAAACCAGAGUGUUUGGGGGCAUGGCCACUGGGGGCAUGGGUCAUCGGGGCGUGGUUGCAUAGGGCGAGGCCACCUGGGUGGGAGGCCGCAUGGGCUCGCUGUUGCCUAGGUAGGCACGUAGGCGUGGCCACCUGGUUUGACCAUGCAUGGGCUAGCGCGCAGCCCGUUGUCGUGGGCUUGGCGCAGGGCGCCGAGAUGCUGUUUGGUGGCCAUGGGAAGAAGAUGCGCACAACCACAGAAUGAGACGAGAAAAAAAA
RNAcentral lists this long non-coding RNA (14080 nucleotides) under Sorghum bicolor (sorghum). RNAcentral's name for it is "long non-coding RNA (SBIC_LNC009794)". Lineage: Eukaryota; Viridiplantae; Streptophyta; Magnoliopsida; Poales; Poaceae. The record is from RNAcentral.